Molecule: ribosomal RNA, 504 nt
Filed under: uncultured fungus
Lineage: Eukaryota; Fungi
Description: SSU rRNA
Rfam family: Eukaryotic small subunit ribosomal RNA
Source: RNAcentral
GAUUCAUGAUAACUCCUCGAAUCGCAUGGCCUUGUGCCGGCGAUGGUUCAUUCAAAUUUCUUCCCUAUCAACUUUCGAUGUUUGGGUAUUGGCCAAACAUGGUUGCAACGGGUAACGGAGGGUUAGGGCUCGACCCCGGAGAAGGAGCCUGAGAAACGGCUACUACAUCCAAGGAAGGCAGCAGGCGCGCAAAUUACCCAAUCCCGACACGGGGAGGUAGUGACAAUAAAUACUGAUACAGGGCUCUUUUGGGUCUUGUAAUUGGAAUGAGUACAAUUUAAAUCCCUUAACGAGGAACAAUUGGAGGGCAAGUCUGGUGCCAGCAGCCGCGGUAAUUCCAGCUCCAAUAGCGUAUAUUAAAGUUGUUGUGGUUAAAAAGCUCGUAGUUGAACCUUGGGCCUGGCUGGCCGGUCCGCCUCACCGCGUGCACUGGUCCGACCGGGCCUUUCCUUCUGAGGAGCCGCAUGCCCUUCACUGGGUGUGUCGGGGAACCAGGACUUUUAC